UGGGGAAUAUUGCACAAUGGGCGCAAGCCUGAUGCAGCCAUGCCGCGUGUAUGAAGAAGGCCUUCGGGUUGUAAAGUACUUUCAGCGGGGAGGAAGGGAGUAAAGUUAAUACCUUUGCUCAUUGACGUUACCCGCAGAAGAAGCACCGGCUAACUCCGUGCCAGCAGCCGCGGUAAUACGGAGGGUGCAAGCGUUAAUCGGAAUUACUGGGCGUAAAGCGCACGCAGGCGGUUUGUUAAGUCAGAUGUGAAAUCCCCGGGCUCAACCUGGGAACGGCAUUUGAUACUGGCAAGCUUGAUUCCCGUGGAGGGGGGUAGAAUUCCAGGUGUGGGGGUAAAAUGCUUGGAGACCUGGAGGAAUACCGGUGGCGAAGGCGGCCCCCAGAACGAGGCUUGCCCCUCGGGUGCGAAGGGGUGGGAGCAAACAGG
RNAcentral lists this ribosomal RNA (428 nucleotides) under Chloroflexota bacterium. Its description in RNAcentral is "Chloroflexi bacterium partial 16S ribosomal RNA". It matches the Rfam family "Bacterial small subunit ribosomal RNA", at positions 355 to 776 of the family's 1533-position model. Lineage: Bacteria; Bacillati; Chloroflexota. The record is from RNAcentral.